AACGAACGCUGGCGGCAUGCCUAACACAUGCAAGUCGAACGAGACCUUCGGGUCUAGUGGCGCACGGGUGCGUAACGCGUGGGAAUCUGCCCUUGGGUUCGGAAUAACAGUUAGAAAUGACUGCUAAUACCGGAUAAUGUCUUCGGACCAAAGAUUUAUGCCCAGGGAUGAGCCCGCGUAGGAUUAGCUAGUUGGUGAGGUAAAGGCUCACCAAAGGGCGACGAUCCUUAGCUGGUCUGAGAGGAUGAUCAGCCACACUGGACUGAGACACGGCCCAGACUCCUACGGAGGCAGCAGUGGGAAUAUUGGACAAU
Molecule: ribosomal RNA, 314 nt
Filed under: uncultured bacterium
Lineage: Bacteria
Description: bacterial SSU rRNA
Rfam family: Bacterial small subunit ribosomal RNA
Source: RNAcentral